Molecule: small nuclear RNA, 104 nt
Organism: Bubalus bubalis (water buffalo)
Lineage: Eukaryota; Metazoa; Chordata; Mammalia; Artiodactyla; Bovidae
Source: RefSeq, a predicted model, not a curated record
GUGCUCGCUUUGGCAUCACAUGUACUAAAAUUGGAACGAUACAGAGAUUAGCAUGGCCCAUGCGCAAGGAUGACACGCAAAUUCGUAAAGUGUUCCAUAUUUUU